AAAGUAUAAAGGUUAUUUGGGAGAAGGAAAAAUUAUUUCUCAAUAUUAACUCCAUAGACAAAAGCCCAAUUUUCAUAAUAAGCUAGGAGAAAUCGAUAAUGUUUUAAAAAUAAAAAGUGAACUGCUUACACUCACCAAUCUAUACCCAGUAUUAAUUCUAUCCUGCAGUGUAUGCUAUAGAAGGUAAUAAAACGCUGAUGUUUCCUAGUUUCUCGUUUCAAUCUGCUCCAGCUUUCUCUUCAACCUGGUUAGCAACAGAAGUCACCCCCAGCAAUUACACAAACCUAACAACGGCUUCCCUGGGAUAAUUUGAUCCGCUCCAACCACACAUUCCAAUCCACAUACUUUCUUCCGUUACGGUUGUUGUCUGUGUGUGUUUAACAUGCUUCUUGAAAGGCUUUUUUAAAAUAUCGAGCCAAGGAUUUCUCAUCCAGCUCGCUACCACAUCAACAGAACCAGAAUAUGAUUUAGUUCAGCUUCAGAUGACAGUACAGCAAAGUAUUACUGUCAUUUCACAUUUCUCCUCCUUCUGUGCUCUUAACUGCUGUGCACCUGGGUCGCUAAAGGACUGCCUAUCAUGAGCUGAGCCCUCCCAGCUGUGGACCCUGGGGGGUGGGAAAUCUUGAAACCUGCCUGACUCAAGGGCUCUCAGCCGUUGCUUUGUCACCAACAGCCUGUUUUAACCUGCUCCUAUUGGACCUUUAUCACUUUCCUGACCCCACAAAACAAACCUGGCUGGCAAAUGCAGUGAACAGCCUCCUUGAAAAUGCAGCUUGACUGUGAUUCAUGGCCAAAAGCUGGAAUAACCCUGCCAGGCCAGAGAAAAAUCGCAGCUUCAUUGUCUGAAGGAAGAGGACUCAGGAAAAUGCAACUUCACCUGAAGCAAGAUCUUUUAUGGCUUGGCAAUCCCAACCUUGCCGGUGUGAAAGGACCGACCUACCUCUGGAACCCGGAGGGCAACUGUGGCAGCAAAAUCCCAAAGGUAAUUUUCACCUUUCUUUUAAUUUUUAAUAGGAGUAAUGCAGAAUCAAAAUGAUAGACAUUAAGUCACUCAGGCAGUUAGGUAUGCUUUGAUUUUAUUUUACCUUUUUCUACUCUCACCUUUUGUAGGAUCAUUUGUUAUUAAGUAGGAGUUGAGGGAGGCUUAAUGUACCUGAAAUAAACCUGAAACCAAAAUCA
This 1179-nucleotide long non-coding RNA is filed under the name Sus scrofa (pig). RNAcentral describes it as "lncRNA (ENSSSCG00030072319.1)". Lineage: Eukaryota; Metazoa; Chordata; Mammalia; Artiodactyla; Suidae. The record is from RNAcentral.